Molecule: transfer RNA, 74 nt
Filed under: Blattella germanica (German cockroach)
Lineage: Eukaryota; Metazoa; Arthropoda; Insecta; Blattodea; Blattellidae
Description: tRNA-Arg (CCG) (tRNA-Arg-CCG-3-1)
Rfam family: tRNA
About the family: Transfer RNA (tRNA) molecules are approximately 80 nucleotides in length.
Source: RNAcentral
GUGUCUGUAGCUCAGCUGGAUAGAGUGUCUCCCUCCGAAGGAGAAGGUCGUGGGUUCGACUCCCGCCAGGCACA